RNAcentral lists this ribosomal RNA (585 nucleotides) under Oxalobacteraceae bacterium StTD306. Its description in RNAcentral is "bacterial SSU rRNA". It matches the Rfam family "Bacterial small subunit ribosomal RNA", at positions 102 to 683 of the family's 1533-position model. Lineage: Bacteria; Pseudomonadati; Pseudomonadota; Betaproteobacteria; Burkholderiales; Oxalobacteraceae. The record is from RNAcentral.
ACGGGUGAGUAAUAUAUCGGAACGUACCCUGGAGUGGGGGAUAACGUAGCGAAAGUUACGCUAAUACCGCAUACGAUCCAAGGAUGAAAGCAGGGGACCGCAAGGCCUUGUGCUCCAGGAGCGGCCGAUAUCUGAUUAGCUAGUUGGUGGGGUAAAGGCCUACCAAGGCAUCGAUCAGUAGCUGGUCUGAGAGGACGACCAGCCACACUGGAACUGAGACACGGUCCAGACUCCUACGGGAGGCAGCAGUGGGGAAUUUUGGACAAUGGGCGCAAGCCUGAUCCAGCAAUGCCGCGUGAGUGAAGAAGGCCUUCGGGUUGUAAAGCUCUUUUGUCAGGGAAGAAACGGGUGGGGCUAAUAUCCCCAUCUAAUGACGGUACCUGAAGAAUAAGCACCGGCUAACUACGUGCCAGCAGCCGCGGUAAUACGUAGGGUGCAAGCGUUAAUCGGAAUUACUGGGCGUAAAGCGUGCGCAGGCGGUUUUGUAAGUCUGUCGUGAAAUCCCCGGGCUCAACCUGGGAAUUGCGAUGGAGACUGCAAGGCUAGAAUCUGGCAGAGGGGGGUAGAAUUCCACGUGUAGCAGUG